UUUAGGAAAGAUAUCUCGCAGUUUUGGAAGAUUCCAUAUUUUAGUGAUCUAAAACAGAAUAACUGAAAAUGCAGGAUGUGUAAUCAACAUAAUAUAUAUAGAACAUAAAUAAUAUUGGGAAAAUUGCUAAAAGAGAACAAAAAAAAGGUUGUUGUCCCUUUAGUAUAAAACCAACAUAAAAUUGUCUCAAUAGUAUAAUUUUUCUCAUAAUCUCAAAACUAACCCUAUAUUUAAUCUAAUUAAACACAAUUUAAAAGUUAAUUUGAAUUUUAAAAAAAAAAGUUAAUGGAAAAAAGGUAAAAAACAGUUGAAA
RNAcentral lists this long non-coding RNA (313 nucleotides) under Brassica rapa (field mustard). RNAcentral describes it as "long non-coding RNA (BRAP_LNC006393)". Lineage: Eukaryota; Viridiplantae; Streptophyta; Magnoliopsida; Brassicales; Brassicaceae. The record is from RNAcentral.